This 111-nucleotide non-coding RNA is filed under the name Natranaerobius thermophilus. RNAcentral describes it as "TPP sequence". It matches the Rfam family "TPP riboswitch aptamer (THI element)". From Rfam's summary of the family: Vitamin B(1) in its active form thiamin pyrophosphate (TPP) is an essential coenzyme that is synthesised by coupling of pyrimidine and thiazole moieties in bacteria. RNAcentral also lists the same sequence under 1 other name. The record is from RNAcentral. Lineage: Bacteria; Bacillati; Bacillota; Clostridia; Natranaerobiales; Natranaerobiaceae.
UUAAGCCAAUAGGGGUGCCGGGGAUCGCCUUCCCGGCUGAGAAGGGCAAUUAGUCCUACCCUAGAACCUGACCUGGAUAAUACCAGCGUAGGGAAUUGGCUUUUAGUCUAG